GUCCACGCCUAACGAUGUAACUCGACAUUAGCGAUAUACAGUUAGUGUCCAAGCGAAGCGUUAAGUUACCACCUGGGAAGUACGACCGCAAGGUUGAAACUCAAGGAAUUGGCGGGUCCGGCACAAGCGGUGGAGCAUGUGGUUUAAUUCGAUGAUACGCGAGGAACCUUACCUGGGCUAGAAUGUAGUUUGACCGAUCCUGAAAGGGGUCUUUGUAGCAAUACACAGAUUACAAGGUGCUGCAUGGUUGUCGU
This 254-nucleotide ribosomal RNA is filed under the name uncultured bacterium. RNAcentral describes it as "partial 16S ribosomal RNA". It matches the Rfam family "Bacterial small subunit ribosomal RNA", at positions 793 to 1055 of the family's 1533-position model. The record is from RNAcentral.